This 254-nucleotide ribosomal RNA is filed under the name uncultured bacterium. Its description in RNAcentral is "partial 16S ribosomal RNA". It matches the Rfam family "Bacterial small subunit ribosomal RNA", at positions 524 to 776 of the family's 1533-position model. The record is from RNAcentral.
UACGGAGGGUGCGAGCGUUGUCCGGAAUCACUGGGCGUAAAGGGCGCGUAGGCGGCAAUUCAAGUCAUCUGUGAAAUCUCCGGGCUUAACCCGGAACGGUCAGGUGAUACUGUUUUGCUAGAGUGCGGAAGGGGCAAUCGGAAUUCUCGGUGUAGCGGUGAAAUGCGUAGAUAUCGAGAGGAACACCAGAGGUGAAGACGGGUUGCUGGGCCGACACUGACGCUGACAGCGCGAAAGCCAGGGGAGCAAACGGG